CGGCGUUCCCUGCGCAGGUUGUCUCCGCAGCUCCCGGGAGACCCACCCCCCCGAGCCCCCGCGCCCCGCCUCCAGCGCCUCGCCGGAAACGUGCUCCGCCCCUUCUGCCGCCGGUCGCUGGGAGGAAUCCGAGUCUUGGCGCUAAUCGUCUCUCCUUCGUCCCCUUGGCUGUCCUGACAACUUAUUUAUGGUCUAAGAUGCACUGUCUGAGAUUACACAGCUAUUAAGUAGUGGAUCCAGUAUGGAACAGAGGCCAGUCUGGCUCCAGUGGGCUACUUUCAGCCACCGUGCUCUAUUGUUUAUGCUGAUAUCCUCCAAAGAUGACUCAGUUGCUACAGUCCCCCUUUGAACAGUGCCAUCCUUGCCAAGGAGUUGACACUUCUCUUGAAUUUGUUAAGCCAAUGUUUGUGAAAUUUCAGCCAGCAUUGUGAAAGCAGCAUUUCCCAUUUCACAUGACGCCAGCUUCCAGACAACUAGACAAGUCUAAACAAAUAUGAGACCCACUAAAAAGCCGAUGACGGGCGCACACACCAUGGACUCUGGCUGGAGGCUGCAGAGGGCAGGGCCCGGAUUCCCAUCAUCCAGCCGUGGCUCCACCACCACUGCUUGUGGCUUUCCAAGGAUGCCUGAAGCCAAGCUCUGUGGUGGCUUGAAGCCCUUCCAUGGCACUGAAGCCCACCACAGAGCUCUAUGGAGUAACCACACCUCUCCCAGCUCACGAAAACUUCUGAGAUCCCUCUACUUAACCCCCGCAACAUCCCACACUGGCAGCCUAAGCAGGCCACCAGUGGAGCUGGCCCAGAGAAUGGAGAGAUCAACUUUAAAAAGUUUCUCAAAAUUACUGCCCACUACCCCUCUUCUCUUCUUAAUUAAGAAAAAAUUAUGAAACUUUUUAUUUCUCAGCUGCAUUGCACAGCAUGCGAGAUCUUAAUUCCCUGA
This is a long non-coding RNA of Aethalodelphis obliquidens (Pacific white-sided dolphin), 939 nucleotides long. RefSeq lists it as uncharacterized. The transcript has 3 exons. Lineage: Eukaryota; Metazoa; Chordata; Mammalia; Artiodactyla; Delphinidae. The record is from RefSeq and is a predicted model, not a curated record.